Molecule: unclassified non-coding RNA, 350 nt
Filed under: Orbicella faveolata
Lineage: Eukaryota; Metazoa; Cnidaria; Anthozoa; Scleractinia; Merulinidae
Source: RNAcentral
AAACACUCGUACUAACAUGUAUCUCUUAUCAGGGCAAACAAGAAACAAUGAAAAAAAUGUCAGUGGAGGAAAAUACCUCAAACACGGCAGCUGGUAGAGCUAAAGAAUGGAGAGACAUACAAUGGACAUCUUGUAAGCUGUGACAACUGGAUGAACAUAAAUCUAAGAGAAGUCAUUUGUACUUCCAGAGAUGGAGACAGGUUUUAGAAGAUACCUGAAUGUUAUGUCAGGGGUAGCAACAUAAAAUAUCUUAGGAUUCCAGAUGAGGUUAUUGACAUGGUAAAAUAUGAAAUGGUAAAACAAGGAAGAAGCAGAGGCACAGGAAGACCAGGUAUGACAAAUUACCGGAC